GUCUCUAUGGCACAAUUGGUCAGCGCGUUCGGCUGUUAACCCGAAAAGUUUGGUGGUUCAACCCCACCCAGGGACG
This 76-nucleotide transfer RNA is filed under the name Gasterosteus aculeatus (three-spined stickleback). It matches the Rfam family "tRNA". From Rfam's summary of the family: Transfer RNA (tRNA) molecules are approximately 80 nucleotides in length. The record is from Rfam by way of RNAcentral. Lineage: Eukaryota; Metazoa; Chordata; Actinopteri; Perciformes; Gasterosteidae.